RNAcentral lists this ribosomal RNA (253 nucleotides) under uncultured bacterium. Its description in RNAcentral is "partial 16S ribosomal RNA". It matches the Rfam family "Bacterial small subunit ribosomal RNA", at positions 524 to 776 of the family's 1533-position model. The record is from RNAcentral.
UACGUAGGGUGCAAGCGUUAAUCGGAAUUACUGGGCGUAAAGCGUGCGCAGGCGGUUAUGUAAGACAGAUGUGAAAUCCCAGGGCUCAACCUUGGAACUGCAUUUGUGACUGCAUAGCUAGAGUACGGUAGAGGGGGAUGUAAUUCCGCGUGUAGCAGUGAAAUGCGUAGAUAUGCGGAGGAACACCGAUGGCGAAGGCAAUCCCCUGGACCUGUACUGACGCUCAUGCACGAAAGCGUGGGGAGCAAACAGG